GAGAAUCUACUCGCGCAUUUACGGUGUCAGCUCUGUCCAUGAGCGUGGAGCAUGCCGGUGGAUCCCAAUGCCAUUGCCGGCGUUCUUGAUUCAAUGGAACCUCUUCCGCUAGUUGAUCAAUUAUUCAAUGGAACCUUACAUUCAACCGAGGCCAAGGCUGAGAUCUAGAUCCAGCACUGACCAAACUGUGAUGCCUAGAUUUGUUUAGCAUGCACAAGGAACAAUUACUGGAGGUAAAAUCCAACUCGAUCGGCCACCUGCAACGAGGGAGAGCAGCACCGUCAAGACAGCCAUCUCGAAAAAUCGAGCACAACUAUCGGGAUUCGAAUGGGGAUGGCGAUAGUGGGGAACCUUAUGCAUCUGGAGAGGAAUCCCCCCCAAGGAUUCGACAGCUCGGGUGAGUGUGGGGAAGCUUCGACGCCUAGAGUGGAUGCCACCGUUCGCGUCCUCGAUCCCCGCUGCAAGAGAUCGCACGGGCUGGCUCCGCUUGUCCGUCGUGCCCCC
RNAcentral lists this long non-coding RNA (504 nucleotides) under Panicum hallii. RNAcentral describes it as "long non-coding RNA (PHAL_LNC000569)". The record is from RNAcentral. Lineage: Eukaryota; Viridiplantae; Streptophyta; Magnoliopsida; Poales; Poaceae.